GGCGAACGGGUGAGUAACACGUGAGCAACCUGCCCCUGGCUCUGGGACAACCACUGGAAACGGUGGCUAAUACCGGAUACGACUCGCUCGGGCAUCCGAUGCGGGUGGAAAGUUUUUCGGCUGGGGAUGGGCUCGCGGCCUAUCAGCUUGUUGGUGGGGUGAUGGCCCACCCACAGGCGACGACGGGUAGCCGGCCUGAGAGGGCGACCGGCCACACUGGGACUGAGACACGGCCCAGACUCCUACGGGAGGCAGCAGUGGGGAAUAUUGCACAAUGGGCGCAAGCCUGAUGCAGCGACGCCGCGUGAGGGAUGACGGCCUUCGGGUUGUAAACCUCUUUCAGCAGGGAAGAAGCCGCGCUCCGGUGCGGUGACGGUACCUGCAGAAGAAGCACCGGCUAACUACGUGCCAGCAGCCGCGGUAAUACGUAGGGUGCAAGCGUUGUCCCGGAAUUAUUGGGCGUAAAGAGCUCGUAGGCGGUGUGUCGCGUCUGCUGUGAAAACUCAGGGCUCAACUCUGAGCUUGCAGUGGGUACGGGCACACUUGAGUGCGGUAGGGGAGACUGGAAUUCCUGGUGUAGCGGUGAAAUGCGCAGAUAUCAGGAGGAACACCGGUGGCGAAGGCGGGUCUCUGGGCCGUAACUGACGCUGAGGAGCGAAAGCAUGGGGAGCGAACAGGAUUAGAUACCCUGGUAGUCCAUGCCGUAAACGUUGGGCGCUAGGUGUGGGGUCCAUUCCACGGACUCCGUGCCGCAGCUAACGCAUUAAGCGCCCCGCCUGGGGAGUACGGCCGCAAGGCUAAAACUCAAAGGAAUUGACGGGGGCCCGCACAAGCGGCGGAGCAUGCGGAUUAAUUCGAUGCAACGCGAAGAACCUUACCAAGGCUUGACAUGCGCGGUGGCGCUCCAGAGAUGGAGCUUCAUUUAGUUGGUCGCGCACAGGUGGUGCAUGGUUGUCGUCAGCUCGUGUCGUGAGAUGUUGGGUUAAGUCCCCGCAACGAGCGCAACCCUCGUUCCAUGUUGCCAGCAAUUCGGUUGGGGACUCAUGGGAGACUGCCGGGGUCAACUCGGAGGAAGGUGGGGAUGACGUCAAAUCAUCAUGCCCCUUAUGUUCUUGGCGCUUCACGCAUGCUACAAUGGCCAGUACCAGAGGGCUGCGACUACCGGUUGAGGGUUGGAGCGACAUCCCAAAAAGCUGGUCUCAGUUCGGAUCGGGGUCUGCAACUCGACCCCGUGAAGUCGGAGUCGCUAGUAAUCGCAGAUCAGCAACGCUGCGGUGAAUACGUUCCCGGGCCUUGUACACACCGCCCGUCACGUCAUGAAAGUCGGUAACACCCGAAGCCGGUGGCCCAACCCGUACGGGGGGGAGCUGUCGAA
This 1375-nucleotide ribosomal RNA is filed under the name Cellulomonas sp. MJAU D0029. RNAcentral's name for it is "bacterial SSU rRNA". It matches the Rfam family "Bacterial small subunit ribosomal RNA", at positions 97 to 1460 of the family's 1533-position model. Lineage: Bacteria; Bacillati; Actinomycetota; Actinomycetes; Micrococcales; Cellulomonadaceae. The record is from RNAcentral. RNAcentral also lists the same sequence under 1 other name.